CUGGUUGUUGUUAGUCUAAAAAAAUUCCAACCACACUUUCAUGUACACUAGGAAAGCAAUCUGGAUGGACAGCUUCUCCAAAAAGCUGCAGAUGUUGUAGGGAAAAAAACAAGUGUGUGGCCAUGGCUUGAUGGCAUGGAGUGAUCUCAAAAACUUCAGCAGUUCAUGUAGGUUUGUCAUUAACAGGAAUUUUAAAUUCAAGAAAUUCGCAUGAAUAAUUUUAUUCCUGUGUUUCAUGUAAUAAUAAUUUAAAAAGAAAUCCAUCCCAGACAGCUAAACAGAAAGUGACCAUGAGUGGUUGUGCUACUACCCCCUGAGGAAUAAACUUUAAAUGGAAUCCAGAGCUGUCUUAGCAGUUCUGUCAAGGUGACUUCAUAUGAAAAAAAAUAUGGCUAUUUUGGUUGGACUACCUAUGAAGAAAUAAAAGUGUAUUCCAGUGUAUUUCCAGUGUAUUCCAGUGUAUUCCAGUAUAUUGGACCUGACCCACUGCAUAGCUGCAUGAGCUGAAGAACUGGAGGAGAAUGGAAGACAGAAUACACAAGAAAGAAGAUGGAACCAUCUAGUUCAGCAGCUCAGCUUUAGAAUGGCUUUUGAAAAUGCAUCCUCUGUCGUGCAGAAAUUUAGGUUUCAUAGAAACCACCUAAAUGCAGGCAUAGUUCUUUCAAAUCAGCUGUCUAUUAUUUACGUAGGAAAAAACACCUCCUUUUUUAAUAGGGUGAUUACUCUUUAUAUACAAGCUGAUUUUCCUCCCUAAUUUGCCUCUUCAGAAGAAGUAUAAUGGAUAGGAGGCCCUCCAAGUGAGUAUAUAUGAAAAUGAU
This is a long non-coding RNA of Cuculus canorus (common cuckoo), 818 nucleotides long. RefSeq lists it as uncharacterized. NCBI's taxonomy places the organism in Eukaryota, Metazoa, Chordata, Aves, Cuculiformes, Cuculidae. The record is from RefSeq and is a predicted model, not a curated record. The transcript has 6 exons.